RNAcentral lists this transfer RNA (87 nucleotides) under Bacillota bacterium. RNAcentral describes it as "Firmicutes bacterium tRNA-Leu". It matches the Rfam family "tRNA". From Rfam's summary of the family: Transfer RNA (tRNA) molecules are approximately 80 nucleotides in length. Their secondary structure includes four short double-helical elements and three loops (D, anti-codon, and T loops). Lineage: Bacteria; Bacillati; Bacillota. The record is from RNAcentral.
GCCGGGGUGUCGGAACUGGUAGACGAGGCGGACUCAAAAUCCGCUGGGCGCGAGCCCGUGCGGGUUCGACUCCCGCCCCCGGCACCA